GGAGGGUUGCGAUAAUGGCUAUUCGGCUGGUUUCGAAAACCAGUGGGAGUAAUCCCUUGCAGGUUCGAGUCCUGCACCCUCCG
This 83-nucleotide transfer RNA is filed under the name bacterium. RNAcentral describes it as "tRNA-Ser". It matches the Rfam family "tRNA". From Rfam's summary of the family: Transfer RNA (tRNA) molecules are approximately 80 nucleotides in length. Their secondary structure includes four short double-helical elements and three loops (D, anti-codon, and T loops). The record is from RNAcentral.